Molecule: long non-coding RNA, 982 nt
Organism: Oncorhynchus tshawytscha (Chinook salmon)
Lineage: Eukaryota; Metazoa; Chordata; Actinopteri; Salmoniformes; Salmonidae
Exons: 4
Source: RefSeq, a predicted model, not a curated record
GUUCAGUUUGUAGACCUACAAAAAAAGAGAGCCCUAUGAACAGAUAAUUGUUGAUGCGGAUGUUUAGGAGUUGUACGUUAAAUGCGCGUUGCAUCUUGGGAAUCGUAGUAACAUGGAGGUGCCGUUUGUCACGCAUGACUUUAUACAUGGCGAAGCUUUAAAACGUGAAUUUCGAUUGUCUUUGAUUUUAUUAUCAUAUUAGAUUGACGAAUACAAGGUCAUAAAGACGUGCAACGCUUCGGGGAAACACGGUAAGCUAUGUCUCUGUUGAGAGGGUUGCUGAAGGCUUGCCAUUCCACACAACCAGACAGUUAAGCACUGGUGUGUGCUGUCCAGUCCAUAUGAAUGCUAUUCCUGAGCUGAAGAAGGUGGACUGAGAAGAGGAGCAUGUUUGGGGUUUAUGACAACAUAGGAAUUUUAGGGUUUCCGUGGCAACGAGCUGCAGCGUCUGACGAGGAAGAAGAGGAUGGUAGGAUGAUGACACAGGACAAACACGAUAUGGAGAAGAGGAUCCGCUUCCUCUAUCGACACUUCAAGCGCUUUGGGAAACAUCGCUGAUCUGAUCUGGGACUGAGCGGUCUGGCUAACAAUGCUAAACGACUACUGUACUAACACCUGCCCACUGGACCACAUUCAGACUCUAAAGAGAGAAAUGUGAGCUACUCCGUUAUGCCACUUAGAUUUAUAUCAGCCCCUUAUACCAUUUGGUAGCCACCUUUUCUUAUAUCCAUAUUGGGGUAAGAGGAAGCUGAUUGCAAUUUGUUUUUUACUUUUGACAGCUGGAAAAUGUUGGAUUAAUUUAGUAUUGUUGUGAGCACUAAAUCAACACUCAACUGUAAAAUACAUCUUUUGAACCAUUAUGAACUCCUAGAAGUGGAAAUAUACACAAAUGUUUGAUGCUCUAUGGUCUGUAAAUGUUAUCACAUUGGGGACUAAUGUAAGUAAUGUUGUGGGUAUGAUAAUAAACAGAAGCUUGUCAUUA